UUCAGUUCCCUGAGCGCGCGCUGAGCGUCUGAAGCGGUUCACUCAGAGUUGUCUGCACUGGAUUGAAAUCAAAUCUGCAAAGACUAUUGUUUGCUAGCGAUGAAGAUCUUUAUUAGAUGAACACCGCGUGUGCUCAGGCGCGCAGAUGGCACUAGGGACCCCCCAGAUUCAUAGUGACCCUCACUGUCUAUGGUAAAUAUCGGAGCAGCUUUCCAGCGGAGGAGAGAAACUCAAGGAGUGGGAAGGGCUCGAAUCGGACGCCGAGGUUGCUUUGUUUCUUUUUGAUAGUGACUCCUCAAACAGAAAGAGAAACAACAAGAACAAUAACAGGAAGUACUGCAGUUCAACUCAAUCAGCCAAACACUAGUUCAUUUGUGAUUAUCAUCACUGCGGAGGCUUUGCUUUUACUCCUGAUAGGACUUCCAUUGAUUAUAGUGGCUGUAUGGAAGAAAAAGAAGAAUAAAGGUCUGCUGUCGUCCUCCGUCGAAGAGUUUAAUUCAGUGAUUUAUGAACAGCUCAAAGACGCUGGACGUCAGUGUAAUCCAGAGGACAGAGACACAGAAACAACUGUAGUUUACAGCUGUGCUUCCUGAACUUGUGUCAUAUGUGACUCUACAGACCCGUCAGUGAGACUCGAGCAUCUCUCCAUCAACUCCACAACACAAACCAGUUCAAUUCAACUAAUAUAAUAUAACAUCAUAUAUCAUAUGAUACUAAAUAUGUACAGUUUGGUAUCAUGGUGCACGAUUUUGCAAGCACCACUAAUAUAAUGCAUUUAUGAGCAUGCUGAGGACCAAGAGAAAUAAUCUUCAUACUUCUCAUAAUUUUCAUGAUUUUACUGAAAAUCAGUCAUAAUUGAGUUCAUUUUGUUGGGUUUAUUCAAUCUUUUUCAUUAUGUUUAUGAUUGUUAUAACUGUUCCUUGUAUGUUUACAGAUGACAUGCACAAUUAUGGAACAUUUGAAUGUAUUAAUUUCUGAAGUUGAGUCUCAUGAGUUACUUGCAAUCUGCAGCUUAAUGGACAAAUUAAACAUGUUUCUCUGGAUUGCAGUGUAUUUUGAUGUUGUAUGUCUGUCCAUGCAUUAAUAUAUUAUUAUUAUUAUUUA
Long non-coding RNA from Cyprinus carpio (common carp), 1104 nucleotides. RefSeq lists it as uncharacterized. Lineage: Eukaryota; Metazoa; Chordata; Actinopteri; Cypriniformes; Cyprinidae. The record is from RefSeq and is a predicted model, not a curated record. The transcript has 5 exons.